ACAGCCAUAUUGAAUUGAAAAACACUAGUUCUCAUAUGAUCAUCAAAGUUAAGCAACAUCAAGCCUGGUCAGUACCUUGAUGGGUGACCUCAUGGGAAUACCAGGUGCUGUAAG
This is a non-coding RNA of Acanthosepion pharaonis, 114 nucleotides long. The record is from the annotation of a GenBank genome assembly. Lineage: Eukaryota; Metazoa; Mollusca; Cephalopoda; Sepiida; Sepiidae.